Astatotilapia calliptera (eastern happy) is the source of this 1501-nucleotide long non-coding RNA. NCBI's taxonomy places the organism in Eukaryota, Metazoa, Chordata, Actinopteri, Cichliformes, Cichlidae. The record is from Ensembl.
AAGUAUUUGACACUAUGUAUGAGAAAGCAACCACAUAUACAUGGAAAUGGACUCAAAACCCCAUUAUUGACUUUUUCAAUAGCUAACAUUUCUACUGCCAAGCACUGCUGAUCUGUGUCUGUGUGUCUGUGUGUGCCACUGUGUUAAACUGUUCUUCUGAAGACUCAUACUCUAGCAAGAACUACCACAAAGGCAGUUAAAGAGAACUUUGAUAUAGCUUUGAUAAAUUACCUGUCUUUCUGUCUCUCUUUCUGUCUAUGGACAGAUUUUAUCACAAAAGUAUCACAACAGUGCAAGAUGUAGAGACAAAUCUUCACAGGUAUGUAGUUCAACUCACAAAUCAGUCUCAAGGGUUGCAACGACAACAUGUUAAAAGGCUCUGCAGCUGGUGUGAUCACAUCCCAAAUGGCUGUGGUUCUUUUUGACUGCUGCUUUCUGAAGUUAAUGUCAAUGUCAGUGGAUACUUUAGUUUAUCUAUUUUUUUUUUUGUCAAAUCAUUGUAAUCUCCCAUUGUUUUAAAAUUAAGGCCACAUAAUGAAUUCAUAAUGAAGCUCUCAGUGUUUGAAACAUUUUAUUAUUGCAGGUGUUCCAGCAUUACUCAGGUGUCUAUUUUAAAUCCUACCACAUAGUUUGCCACUGAAAUUAUUUCAGGUAUAUUAUGUCAAAUUUGAAUUUGAAUUUCUAGUCUUAUUUGUACACAGAUGUUUCAGAGAAUACAUGGUCAUGACAUUUAACAGGAACAUUAACUUUAUCAAGUUUUACAAAACUAUUUAUUGGUAAAAGGUGUCUAAGCUCUAUAACAAAAAAGACAGAAAGAAAAAGAAAAAACCCAGAUGGUAUAUGUUUUAGUAAAAAAAAAUUAACAAAUAACAAUAAUCACUAUUUUUAUUAUUUAUAUAAUGGACAUUUGACUGGAACGAAAGCAAGAGGAAACCUGGACAGAAAAGAAAAUCUGAGAAAUUAUAUGAUAGGAAUAGUUUAUUCACACACUGACAACCACAGACAAUGAUACUUCAUGGAAAGUGAUGGCAAAAAAAAAAAAAAUUGCUAGUGCUGGUUAGGUUGUUUUUACACUGAUAAAAACAAUGGAAAAAAACCAGCCUUCCUUCAGUCUUAAAUGAAUCAGCAGUUUGAAAAAGAAAAUACAAUUAAAAUAAAAAUAACAAAUUAGUUCAUUCUUGUGAUCUUGAAAUUAAACGUUGUAUUGUUUUAACUUCGGUUCAGAGUCAAAACAUAAUCUGGGCUAUUGUUUUGAAAAUGGAAAGAAAAAAGGAAAAUUUUGAAUUACUCGAUUACCCCAAGGAGGGCACCUUCAACACCCACAUCAACACAGUAGCCUUGUUGCAUGUCCUCAAAACCACAGUCAAAUAUGAGUUCUGUAACACCCCCACAUCAUGGUGGGUACCCUAACUGUGAGGAAAUUUCACACCAGGUAAUUAUCUGCUGUUUUUCUUUGCCUUUGGGAGGAAGGUGGGUGAUGCUGGCUGAGCAGAGAAGGGAG